RNAcentral lists this ribosomal RNA (1668 nucleotides) under Enterobacter hormaechei subsp. oharae. RNAcentral's name for it is "bacterial LSU rRNA". It matches the Rfam family "Bacterial large subunit ribosomal RNA", at positions 146 to 1838 of the family's 2925-position model. The record is from RNAcentral. Lineage: Bacteria; Pseudomonadati; Pseudomonadota; Gammaproteobacteria; Enterobacterales; Enterobacteriaceae.
CACUAUCGUUAACUGAAUACAUAGGUUAACGAGGCGAACCGGGGGAACUGAAACAUCUAAGUACCCCGAGGAAAAGAAAUCAACCGAGAUUCCCCCAGUAGCGGCGAGCGAACGGGGAGCAGCCCGGAGUCUGAAUCAGCUUGUGUGUUAGUGGAACGGUCUGGAAAGUCCGACGGUACAGGGUGAUAGUCCCGUACACGAAAACACACUUGCUGUGAACUCGAAGAGUAGGGCGGGACACGUGGUAUCCUGUCUGAAUAUGGGGGGACCAUCCUCCAAGGCUAAAUACUCCUGACUGACCGAUAGUGAACCAGUACCGUGAGGGAAAGGCGAAAAGAACCCCGGCGAGGGGAGUGAAAAAGAACCUGAAACCGUGUACGUACAAGCAGUGGGAGCCUCUUUAUGGGGUGACUGCGUACCUUUUGUAUAAUGGGUCAGCGACUUAUAUUCUGUAGCAAGGUUAACCGUAUAGGGGAGCCGAAGGGAAACCGAGUCUUAACUGGGCGUUAAGUUGCAGGGUAUAGACCCGAAACCCGGUGAUCUAGCCAUGGGCAGGUUGAAGGUUGGGUAACACUAACUGGAGGACCGAACCGACUAAUGUUGAAAAAUUAGCGGAUGACCUGUGGCUGGGGGUGAAAGGCCAAUCAAACCGGGAGAUAGCUGGUUCUCCCCGAAAGCUAUUUAGGUAGCGCCUCGUGAACUCAUCUUCGGGGGUAGAGCACUGUUUCGGCUAGGGGGCCAUCCCGGCUUACCAACCCGAUGCAAACUACGAAUACCGAAGAAUGUUAUCACGGGAGACACACGGCGGGUGCUAACGUCCGUCGUGAAGAGGGAAACAACCCAGACCGCCAGCUAAGGUCCCAAAGUCAUGGUUAAGUGGGAAACGAUGUGGGAAGGCACAGACAGCCAGGAUGUUGGCUUAGAAGCAGCCAUCAUUUAAAGAAAGCGUAAUAGCUCACUGGUCGAGUCGGCCUGCGCGGAAGAUGUAACGGGGCUAAACCAUGCACCGAAGCUGCGGCAGCGACACUAUGUGUUGUUGGGUAGGGGAGCGUUCUGUAAGCCGUUGAAGGUGUGCUGUGAGGCAUGCUGGAGGUAUCAGAAGUGCGAAUGCUGACAUAAGUAACGAUAAAGCGGGUGAAAAGCCCGCUCGCCGGAAGACCAAGGGUUCCUGUCCAACGUUAAUCGGGGCAGGGUGAGUCGACCCCUAAGGCGAGGCCGAAAGGCGUAGUCGAUGGGAAACAGGUUAAUAUUCCUGUACUUGGUGUUACUGCGAAGGGGGGACGGAGAAGGCUAUGUCAGCCGGGCGACGGUUGUCCCGGUUUAAGCAUGUAGGCGGAGGUUCCAGGUAAAUCCGGUACCUUAUUAACGCUGAGGUGUGAUGACGAGGCACUACGGUGCUGAAGUGAUAAAUGCCCUGCUUCCAGGAAAAGCCUCUAAGCAUCAGGUAACACGAAAUCGUACCCCAAACCGACACAGGUGGUCAGGUAGAGAAUACCAAGGCGCUUGAGAGAACUCGGGUGAAGGAACUAGGCAAAAUGGUGCCGUAACUUCGGGAGAAGGCACGCUGAUAGGUAGGUGAAGCCCCUGCGGGCGGAGCUGAAAUCAGUCGAAGAUACCAGCUGGCUGCAACUGUUUAUUAAAAACACAGCACUGUGCAAACACGAAAGU